Molecule: ribosomal RNA, 370 nt
Filed under: uncultured organism
Description: bacterial SSU rRNA
Rfam family: Bacterial small subunit ribosomal RNA
Source: RNAcentral
CGGAGGGGGCGAGCGUUGUUCGGAUUUACUGGGCGUAAAGCGUGCGUAGGUGGUUUCCCAAGUUAGAAGUGAAAGCCCAGGGCUUAACCCUGGAAUUGCUUUUAAAACUGGGUCACUAGAAUUUAGGAGAGGCAGAUGGAAUUCCGAGUGUAGAGGUGAAAUUCGUAGAUAUUCGGAGGAACACCAAUGGCGAAAGCAGUCUGCUGGACUAACAUUGACACUGAGGCACGAAAGCGUGGGGAGCAAACAGGAUUAGAUACCCUGGUAGUCCACGCCGUAAACGAUGUGUGCUAGUUAUCGGGCAAUUUAUUGUUCGGUGACGCCGCUAACGCAUUAAGCACACCGCCUGGGGAGUACGGUCGCAAGAUUA